This 253-nucleotide ribosomal RNA is filed under the name uncultured bacterium. Its description in RNAcentral is "partial 16S ribosomal RNA". It matches the Rfam family "Bacterial small subunit ribosomal RNA", at positions 524 to 776 of the family's 1533-position model. The record is from RNAcentral.
UACGAAGGGUGCAAACGUUGCUCGGAAUCAUUGGGCGUAAAGCGCACGUAGGCGGCUUCGCAAGUCGGAUGUGAAAUCCCUCGGCUCAACCAAGGACGUGCAUCCGAAACUGCAAAGCUUGAGUACAGAAGAGGAUCGCGGAAUUCCAGGUGUAGCGGUGAAAUGCGUAGAUAUCUGGAGGAACACCGGUGGCGAAGGCGGCGUUCUGGACUGUAACUGACACUGAGGAACGAAAGCCAGGGGAGCAAACGGG